This 347-nucleotide unclassified non-coding RNA is filed under the name Hevea brasiliensis (rubber tree). The record is from RNAcentral. Lineage: Eukaryota; Viridiplantae; Streptophyta; Magnoliopsida; Malpighiales; Euphorbiaceae.
AGAUUCUUCUGCCUUAAUUCCUCUUUACUAGGAAUUUGAACAAGAGAUACCCUGGCUGGUUGGUUACCACCAGCAAGUUCAGGAACAAAAAGCGCCAGAAUAGGAUCAGUUGGUGACCAACUGAAGUCCAUGACAUUUUCAACCUUAAGAGACUUCUUGUCAAUAAGACUAAAGAUCUCAGUUUCGUAGACAGAGAUCAUGUUUUUCCCAAUUUUCGCAAAAUACUUGUCAUCUUUUCCACCACCCCACCUGAAAAUGGGCCAAGAUACCCCUGCAACACCACCAGUUCCUCCAAUUGCAAAUUCAUCAGCACUCCCCCUGAAAUCCCUCAUCACUUUCCCAGUUCU